RNAcentral lists this ribosomal RNA (253 nucleotides) under uncultured bacterium. Its description in RNAcentral is "partial 16S ribosomal RNA". It matches the Rfam family "Bacterial small subunit ribosomal RNA", at positions 524 to 776 of the family's 1533-position model. The record is from RNAcentral.
UACGUAGGGUCCAAGCGUUAUCCGGAAUCACUGGGCUUAAAGCGUGUGUAGGCGGGCCCGUAAGUGUCUUGUGAAAUCCCACGGCUCAACCGUGGAACUGCUGGGCAUACUGCGGGUCUUGGGCCAACUAGGGGCAGCCGGAACAAGCGGUGGAGCGGUGAAAUGCGUAGAUAUCGUUUGGAACGCCAAUGGUGAAAACAGGUAGCUGGGGAUGUGCCGACGCUGAGACACGAAAGCCAGGGGAGCGAACGGG